RNAcentral lists this microRNA precursor (96 nucleotides) under Pelobates cultripes (western spadefoot toad). The record is from RNAcentral. Lineage: Eukaryota; Metazoa; Chordata; Amphibia; Anura; Pelobatidae.
CAGCCCUCCCCUGCUCACUGCUGUGGCUGAUGGAGGAGGAGCAUGUGGUACAGAGACAUGCUCCUCCUCCAUCAGCCACAGCAGUGAGAGGAGCAG